Non-coding RNA from Rattus norvegicus (Norway rat), 70 nucleotides. The record is from Rfam. Lineage: Eukaryota; Metazoa; Chordata; Mammalia; Rodentia; Muridae.
GGGGAUUUAGCUCAGUGGUAGAGCGCUUGCCUAGGAAAGCGCAAGGCCCUGGGUUCGGUCCCCAGCCCCG